This 433-nucleotide ribosomal RNA is filed under the name uncultured bacterium. RNAcentral describes it as "partial 16S ribosomal RNA". It matches the Rfam family "Bacterial small subunit ribosomal RNA", at positions 29 to 507 of the family's 1533-position model. The record is from RNAcentral.
AACGAACGCUGGCGGCAUGCCUAACACAUGCAAGUCGAACGAGACCUUCGGGUCUAGUGGCGCACGGGUGCGUAACGCGUGGGAACCUGCCCUUAGGUUCGGAAUAACUCCCCGAAAGGGGUGCUAAUACCGGAUAAUGUCUUCGGACCAAGGAUUUAUCGCCUUUGGAUGGGCCCGCGUUGGAUUAGCUAGUUGGUAGGGUAAAAGCCUACCAAGGCGACGAUCCAUAGCUGGUCUGAGAGGAUGAUCAGCCACACUGGGACUGAGACACGGCCCAGACUCCUACGGGAGGCAGCAGUGGGGAAUAUUGGACAAUGGGCGAAAGCAUGAUCCAGCAAUGCCGCGUGAGUGAUGAAGGCCUUAGGGUUGUAAAGCUCUUUUACCCGGGAUGAUAAUGACAGUACCGGGAGAAUAAGCUCCGGCUAACUCCGUG